AAGCGGACCAGUUCAGACCCUUUCUUCAGUCACAGUUACCGAACGUGACAGAUUACAUCAAUGCUGUAAUGAUACAGUCACACACUUCGAUGUCGGGGUAUUUGAUGACACAGUUUCCUCUUGUGGACACCAUCGAUGACUUCUGGACAAUGGUGUUUGACUACAGCUGUGAAAACAUCGUCGUUCUCGGAAAACCAACACAAAAAGAGGAUUGGCUCCUAGGAGAGGUCGGAGAC
Mizuhopecten yessoensis (Yesso scallop) is the source of this 236-nucleotide long non-coding RNA. RefSeq lists it as uncharacterized. Lineage: Eukaryota; Metazoa; Mollusca; Bivalvia; Pectinida; Pectinidae. The transcript has 3 exons. The record is from RefSeq and is a predicted model, not a curated record.